CUUCAGGCUCCUUCUCCCCCUCUGCCCCUUCCUCCCCGCCCUGGAGGAUUUCUUUCUUUUCCUCAGCCCCUUGACCAGGCUGCUCUCCUUCCAUCAUUUCUUGGGCUUUUAUAGGGCUCGUCUUCCUGUUGGCUUCUUCUCCUUCAUUGGCUACGUCGGCUGUGUUAUCCGUGGCGUUCUCAAACUUGGUUUCUGAGAAUUGUGUCUCACUCUUUUCGGUAGGGUUACUUUUCUCAGCAGAUAAUGAUUUCUUCUUUUCGUAACCUUCUGACCCUUCUUCUUUUGGAAGUUCCUCAGUCAGUUCUUGGUCUUUGCUCUUUGCGACCCCUUCAAUCACCAGCCAUAAGGCUUUGCCGUGGUCCAGGAGCUCAUCACCUUCAGGAGUCUUCACACCUAAAGUCUGCUCAUCUUCUGUGGCCAGAAGCUGAUCAAAUUCUGCUCCUGAGGUCAGCUCGCCUUCUGUUCCUGAGGUCACCUGGCCUUCUAGCGUGGAGGCCAGCUCCUCUUCUGCCCCUGGAGUCACCUGGCCUUCUGGCCCAGAGGUCAGCUCGUCUUCUGCCACUGAGGCCUGCGGGCCUUCUGCCUCUGAGGCCAGCUCCUCUUCUGCUCCUGGGGUCACCUGGUCUUCUGGCCCAGAGGUCAGCUCGCCUUCUGCCCCUGAGGCCUGCUGGCCUUCUGCCUCUGAGGUCAGCUCACCUUCUGCUCCUGAGGCCUGCUGGCCUUCUGCCUCUGAGGUCAGCUCACCUUCUGCUCCUGAGGCCUGCUGGCCUGCCUCUGAGGUCAGCUCACCUUCUGCUCCUGAGGCCUGCUGGCCUUCUGCCUCUGAGGUCAACUGGCCUUCUGGCCCUGAGAUCUGCUGGCCUUCUUGCCCUGAGGUCGGCUGGCCUUCUACUUCUGAGGUCAGAUCCUCUUCUGCCUCUGAGGUCGGCUGAUCUUCUGAGGUUUGCGGGGCUUCUGGCCCAGAGGUCUCCUCCCCUUCUACUCCUGAGAUCUCCUCACCUUGGGCCUCUAAGAUCUCCUCACCUUGGGCCUCUAAAAUCUGCUUGCCUUCUGUCUCUGAGGUCUCUGCUUCUACCCCUGAAGUGUGCUUGCUUUCUGACUCCGAGGUCUCCUCCUGUACCACUGGGGUCUGCUGGCCUGACUUUGAAGACCGCCUGCUUUCUGCCCUUGAGGGCCGCUUGCUUUCUGCCCCUGAGGGCCGCUUGCUUUCUGUUCCUGAGGGCCUCCUGCUUUCCCCAAGCGAGGUCCGCUUGCUUUCUGCUGCUGAGGGCUUCCUGCUUUCCCCAAGUGAGGGCCGCCUGCUUUCCAAGAGUGAGGGCCGCCUGCUUUCCGUACCGGAGGGCCGCCUGCUUUUGUGGGAGGGCUUCCUGCUU
RNAcentral lists this long non-coding RNA (1373 nucleotides) under Sarcophilus harrisii (Tasmanian devil). RNAcentral describes it as "lncRNA (ENSSHAG00000002773.2)". Lineage: Eukaryota; Metazoa; Chordata; Mammalia; Dasyuromorphia; Dasyuridae. The record is from RNAcentral.